CAGUAAGGCGGAGCUGCACAUUUGUAGUUUCUCUUUUUAGAAACAUAAAACAGUAGUCACAGCUUCCAUGCCUGUGUUUAUGCCAUCCUCGCCCCUUCAGCCUGGUGAUUUUAGAUGAGGGUGGCAAGAGGCUGCUGGGCAGAGUUGAACUUAUUUUUCUUAAACACUAUUAUGAGCAGAUGUGCGGGUGCACGCCCAUGAUCUCAGCACUCUGGGAAGCUGAGGCAGGAGGACUGCAAAUUUGAGGCCAGCUUGGAUAACUUAGUGAGACCCCGUUUCUUAACAAAAAAUGAAAAGGGUUGGGAUGUAGCUCAGUUAGUCGAGCACUCUUGGAUUCAAGCCCUUGCACUGAAAAACAAAAACCAAGAAGCAUUACUCAACGGUCUUGUUCAAGAGGUGGCAGCUCUCGGAGCGAUCCUUAGUCAUGCCCCAUGGGUACUGGGCAGGGUGUUCGGGCACUGGGAGAUCACCCCUUGAUUCUUUGGGCGUCUGCUCUGAGCAGCGUGGAGGGAGCUGCAGCGCUGCAGGGAGGACUGGUCACCCAGAACUCUCUCUUGUUUCCCUAGUGAUGGAUCGUGCCACCACAGCGGUCCCAGCAGGUGAACAAUGCUGAAGCCAACGCACCAUGUACAGCGUGGAGGACCUGCUGAUCUCUCAUGGCUACAAACCACCCCGAGACCUCCCAGGGCCACAUGGGGCCAAGGCUGGUGGGCAUGCACAGGCGAGAACAAGGCCCAGAGGCAGCCAGGGCCUGCAGAAUGGAUGUGAGGAUGGUGCCCCUACCCCAGCACCAGCCAGGCUGGCCCCAGGGACAGGCCCCGUGAGUGCCCCUGAGGGCCAACGAGGCGCGCCCCGGCACCGCACGGAGCACCACAGGACUUCCGCUUCCAGAGCUUCAGAAGCAGGGUUUUAUAAUCAACCUGCCUUAGCAUGGUCCUCUCAGCCCCAGAUCGGUAACGACCAGGCCUGUUGGAGAAGAGGCCAGAAGGCCAGCAGCUUGCUGGGCCCGCGGGACCGGGAUGACGCUGAGGUCAGAAGGGUGGCCCAAGCCCACAGUCUGCCUGUGCCCAUGAGGGAGGGCCCGUGGGAUGUCGGAGGAAGGACCGAGCAUGUGGUGAAGAAAGCAGUUUGGGAAGAAGAGCCGAGGAUGUCGAGCGCUGCCAGAUGGCAGAAUGUAAGCCUCGAGAGCUGGAGCCAGCCGAGGGAGCUGGGAAGGCAGAUGUCCGAUGGUGACGGGGAGAAGCUGUUCCAGGGUCUGUACCCAUUCACUCAAGGAGAGCAUGCACUGACUUCUCAGAGCAGGAAGAAAUCCCAGUCGUUGCCUCGAGUCCUUUCUCCUGAGAGCCUGAGUUACAUGGAAAUUCCCAUUCCACUGAACGAUGGACACUUACCAGGUGUUCCCAAAGUGCCCCCGCAUCCUCCCGAUCGUGCUCCCCAGUUGGAAUUGACCAAAAACCCCGAAAAGGCUGGCUCCUCGGCCCCAUUCCCCCGGCCUAAGUUUGGGAGACCCCUCAAGCCUCCGUAUGGGCCACACCCACAGCCCAGGAGCAGGGAACGGGGCGCCCUUCAGGACAGCCAGCAGAUGGACCUGCCCGGUUCCUGCUUGACCAGAAGCAGCGACCCCAGGCAUGAGCCCAGUGUGCCAGACUGCAGCUUGGAGCCCCCGGUGUAUGUGCCUCCGCCUUCAUACAGGUCGCCUCCCCAGCACAUCCCAAACCCCUACCUGGAGGAGCCGGUGCCCAGACAGGGGAGUGGUGGCCAUGGCCCACAGUACCAGCCCACCGAAAAGCCUGGGCCCAGCGAUCCGCUUCCUCCCGGCCUCUUCAGGACUGGGAAUGAACCUGGUGCAAGCCCAGGCGCCCUGCGCGGUCUCCCUGCACACCCUCGUCCUGUCGCCCCCACCUGCGAAGGCUCCAUUCAGUACAUUCCCUUUGAUGACCCGCGGAUCCGCCAUAUCAGACUGGCUCCGCCUCUGGGUUUCUGUGCAGAAGUGAAGCCUGAUGAUAGAUGUUACGACGCUGGUCCUGUUCCUGCCUCGGAGCCAGCUCAGGAGAAGAGGCACCGUGACAGUGCCGUUUUGAAGGCACGGAGCCUGACACCCCCACUGGGGACUGAGAGGGGCCCGGCCUUUGUGGAUCCUAGCCCACCGUGGCUCUGGGGCCAGCUCCGCGGGGAUGGAGAAGAUGCAGGCUUCCCUGACCAAAGAGAACGCUGCGUUGUGAGAGGACAGCAGGCCCCAGGGGAAGGUGGCCAGCACGGCCGUGCAGAGGGCCAUGUUUCCUCCCCAGACCCACAAGGCAGUGAGAGGGCCUGCGAAACCCGGACCAAGCUCAGAAUGUUUGAAACUGGGAUGCAGACCAAGAAAAGUUCAAAGAAAAAAACGAAUGAGACUAUAUUUUGUUUGGUUUCCAUCCCAGUUAAAUCAGAAUCCCAUCUGCCAGAGAUAGAUACGAACAACAAUGACUUAAAACAGAGAGCUGAUAAAAAGCCCGGGACUGAUAAGAGCCCAGCCUUGCAGGAGCAAAGUCUGCUGAGCAUGUCUGCCACUGACCUGGAGCUGCAGGCCCUCACGAGGAGCAUGGCUGGAAAAACAGAGUUCCCGAAGCAAGAUCUAGGGGAACCAGACGGAGACAAACAAACAGAUGACCUCAGAUUCAUGCACCUUGCAAAGCACAGAGAGCUCAAGUACUCUGGCUCGUGGCCAGGGCACCAGUACCGGGACCAGCAAACACAAACCAGCUUCCCUGAAGAACCUAAAAGCUCACAGCUCCUCCCUGCUUCGACGCUGGGUGUGCUGAGUAGCACAGCCCCAACCCCAAAAUGUUUAGAUCCCACUGACACUCACAUGCAUGUGCCUUUCGGGCCCAGUGACCACAAACGGAAGGCAUAUGCUCCUAACCUGAAGGGCCAGAUGUCCCUCAGUCCGUCCAGCAAUAGUGCUUUCUCAAGGACUUCCCCAUCCACCAGCCAGGCACCUGUGCCAAAAGCUGGCCAGAGUCAGCCCUGCCUGGAUGUCCUCAAACCGGAGGUGGUGAAGGGGGAGCCCACAGCAGGCCCCUGCAACAGUAAGCAGCUGUUUGGUCAGUUUCUUCUGAAACCAGUUAGCCGGCGCCCGUGGGAUCUGAUCAGUCAGCUGGAAAGCUUUAAUAAGGAGAUUCAAGAAGAGGAAGACAGCCCUGAUGGCAGCAGCGGCAGCAGCAGUGAGGAAAACGAGAUAGAACGACAGGAAGGCUGUGUUGGUUCCAGGCCAAGGAACUGGGGCUUCUGUGAAGACAGCCAGGGAAAGGGAGUCAAGCCGCAGCCGAGGGAGCUGGUGCUGCAGGAUCCCGGAUGUUGGUCAGGAAGAGUGAAAAGUGAGUCUGAGAGCCAGAGCGAGGAGCUGAAGGCUGGGCGCCUGCCUGCCCGCCCUCGGGCCCCCGGCUUCUCGCAGGUGCUAGACAGCACAGGUGACCCUCUUGGGUCAGUGGAUGAAAACUGGGUGACAGAGAAGCGGAGGCAGGAGAUUGUCAAUGGAGCAGGUGAGCUCGAAGUCAGCCCAGGUCCUGUGAAAAGAGUGAUAUCUUCAAGACCCAGUGACACAAAACCAGUUACCCUUUCCUGGCUGGCUGAGCCAAGGGAGCUAGCAGGAAGUGAGAAGUUCACUGAUGCUUUGAGCUCUGUGCAGCUGAGCAGAGCGGAUCCCCUGGAGGUGGACAGUGCUGAGGAGAGGGGCCUGGGGGUCCCGCUGGCCCUUACUGACAAGAGCCGGGGCCUCUCCGCACCGGACUUGCGGUCCGCUGGGCUCAUGAUGGGACCUGAGCCGAGUGCCCGUGAGCUAGUCAGGCCUCCGGGUGAAGGGGGUGCCACAGAGAUGCCCCUGAGCGAGUCGCUGCAGGCCAGGGCGGCAAGGAUCCUGGGCAUCGAGGUGGCCAUGGAGUCCCUGCUGCCGGGCACCAGGACAGCAGGGCCGAGCCAGCCCCCUGAGCCUGAUGCAAGUGCCUGCAGCCUGGAGCCGCCCAGGGAGGAGUCCUUGCCCAGCUCAGCAACGUCACUUGGCCCUACAGUGACCACAGAUGCCUUCUAUGGUAGGAGGAAGUGUGGCUGGACCCAGAGCCCCCUUUUUGUGGGGGACAGGGCCCCCCAGGCUUCUGAGCACUCAGCUGUGGACGGGGUCCUCGCCAGCCAAGACACCAGCCCCGAGCCCCAGCUUGGCCCUCUGGAGUCCAAGUCUCUGGAGCAAAAGCUGAUGGGGCCAAAACCACCCUUCAGGUCCACAUUGCUCCACGUUAUGGAAAGGACCCCAAGUGUGUCAGGUUUGGAAAAGAGGCUCAGAAGCCCUUCCAAAGUGAUCGAAAGUUUGCAAGAGAAACUGGCGUCCCCGCCGAGGAGGGCGGACCCCGACCGCCUGAUCAGAAUGAAGGAGGUGAGCUCGGUGUCGCGGAUGCGGAGCCUGAGCUUCAGGAGCGCGGAGGGCACAGAGGAGGACGAGGAGCCGAAGGCCGAGCGGGGCCAGGCCUGGCAGCCCCGGGGCCCCGUGUCCCCGAGCGGGGGAGACCGGGCGUGGAAAGGGGGGCACCCGCCCUCCAUCUCCAAGGGCAUCGUCACGUGGGAAGAAAAUGGGCACAUGGCAGCCCAGAGGGAGAAGAGCGAGGGUCAGGACUUCUGGUGCCCAGGGCAUCCACAGCUCUUCAGGCGGAGAGCAUCUCAUCUUGGCAGCCCCCUCAGGCAGCCUCAUGUCCCUGGAGAGCAGGGCACACAUAGGGGCAGCUGCGCAUGCUUGUUGCUGCUCAGGUGGCCUCCGUGGGCCUUUCCUGUGGUGGUCACCAGGCCUCAGCAUUCAACAGUCGUCCUUCUGAGAGGAAUCCAGGUCCUGUGCGGACCUGCUCACUUUUGCACUCACAGUUGCUGUGGCCUUUGUGAUAGCCCUUGGAUCUUGUUUUCUUUUGAUGCAUUCUGUCAUUUCAAAUGCAGAAUCUCAUCUCCAUCCGACUCACUCCUGCUGCUGUUACCCCAGUGCGGUAGAACUGCUUCCAGUAGCUCUGAAUUGGUCCCAGAUUCACAGUCCUUGUCUAUGCAGAUUCUGUUCUAGAACUGUAAAACAAGGUCAUACAGUGUUAUCUCCGCAGCCACUCCCUACACGCACGCACGUGCAUACACACAUGGCCCUCCAGAACCUUACCUUGUGUUGUGGUACCUGUCAUAUGAUGCAGUUAUUUCAGAUUAAGGGUGGUCAUUUCAGUUAGCAUUUUUUAGUUGUCUUUUUGGCUCUGGCUAAAAAAAACCAGCUCAAAACUAGUUGAGGUCACGGAUUCCCUUCUCUGCUGGUGCCGUAUUCUACUUCAGAAGUGUGAUCACGGGCACAGAGAGUCUGGAGAGCCUGCCGGUCCGUUCAGCUUUCCUGUUAGCAUUCCUAUGACCCCAGCAGAGUGGAGAGAGUGUGAGGAAAUGCCAGCGAGGCCCGGCGCCGCCUUGGUUUGCUGGCUGAGUCUUCCCCGCUCCAGUCCGGCCUCCCAUCUGGCCCAGGCAGAAGCUGGAAGCUGCUGGGUUUGAGUGUCCCGGUUCCCCGCCACUGGCGUCUGUGUAGCCUUGUGGAGAUGAAGCAACAGUCCGCUGAAACCAUCUGUUUUCAUAGCAUGAAGAUCUGUGCUUAUAUUUAGAAAAGAGUUUUCACAUAAACCCUACUUUGUGGAGGAGGAGGCCGUGCUGGUAAAUAGUGAGGUGCUGAUCUGUGUCCGUGUGAGAGCUGAAAUGUGGACGACGUCGUGAGUGAGCCUGAAAGGACCGUGAGCACCCUCAGCUUCUGCGUGCGUGUGUGAGGCUGCGGUCCGUGCCCUUGCCCAAGGCCUGAGGCAUGGGCCUUUGCCUGGCCGGGGGGCUCUUCGAGCUGAGGGACAGCGUGUGUGAAUAUGUGUGACCCAUUUCCAGUCACCUUGGCAUUGUGCUGCUGGAAGUGACUUGACUUACCAGUACCUUGCGGUCAGAGAAUAAAAGCAAUAUCUUUGAAUUCCUAAAAGAUGACACUUGUAUUGUAAUAUACUAAAGAGUAUUAUUUAUCUGGCAAUGAAAUGCUUUGAUCAUUUGCAAAUAUGCCAUUGUCUGCUUUGCACUCAGUAUUAUCUAUUUUUAUUUUCUGUAUGGAUGUUUAGAAAUACUUUAUAUGAAAAAUAAUUGCUGGUUUAAAAGAGACCAUUUUAACAAAGUGACUAUAUUUCUUUUUACAAAAUUGCUAUUUUUCUAUGAUGUAAACAGUUGUUAGGCGGCAGAUUUUUAAGGAAGUGUUAUUUUAUUUAAGAGUGUUCCCUUCUGUGUGAGAGGAGCUCGGAGAGGGUUUGCUUUCACCUGAAGCCCAUGUCCCCGACCCGCCUCACCCUGCCACUUUAUUUCAUUUUAGGAAAUGUCAGUGUAGACUGAUCAUGGGGUUAAGAAACUUCUUGUUUUGCAAAGAUUUUUUUUUUUUUUUUACAAAUGUAGCUGUGAGGUUGUAUUUGAAAAUAACCCUCUCAACAUCCAGUCAACAUCCUUUGACAGUUUCGCUGCCAUCUCAAAUAGAAUUACCAAAAAAACCCGAAGUAAUUUUAUCUUUGUGUGUCCGUCAGGAUCUGCUCCAAGACUGGCCUUUCCUUCACGGACCCCCCCCCCCAGCCUGGCUCUUUAAAGAAAUCUGUACUGUGUAUUUUUAAUCUAGAAUGAUCCUGAAUUAGCCUCAUAUGUGUUUAGAUGUGCUUGGCACAUGUAUAAGUAUGUGCCAUUACAGAAGCAUUAUGAGGCCCAUGUAUCCUACUGUGUUUAAUACCGAAUUAACCGGCACAGUUUGUGUAUUUCCAUGUGUUUGUCCCUACUUUCUGAGUAAGGUAUUCUUGCUAGCUCACACGCUCUAAAUAAUUCCUGUCUCCUUCUUUCCUUUCUUCCUCCUUUUCUUCCCCCUUUUAAUUUUUCUUUUUUUCUUUUUUGAGAUACCACUUUAUUUCUGGACAUUUCAAAUUCCUAAAAUGUGAACUAUUGGCUGCUCUGUCCUUUGGCCCUGAGCCGCCUGGCUUUCCCGGCCUGUUCUUAGCUGUACCCAGGCUCCUAAGGAGCCUGUGUGUUUGGACUGUGCAGAACAGAACAGAAUCCAGGUGAUGCCGGCAGGGCUUUCCACACACUCCGCCUGCUGUCUCGGCUCCCUGCUCCUCGUGGGGAUCUCUGGAGGACCCGGCCCCUGUGAAGGUCGGAGGAGCCUUAGCUGUCAGAGCAGCAGUAAGACGGGCCGAGCCUCUUCCCUGGAGGACCCUGUGGGGAAGCGGUGCUCACUAUCUUGUGGUUGGGGAGUUGGUCUCCAUGGGCUUGCACUUCCUCUUUAGGGGCAAAUGAAAGAAUGUGUGUGUGUGUGUAUACACUGUUCUGACUUCCUCUUAAAUUUUGUUGACAUCAUCUAAAGGCCUCUUUUAAACAAAAUGUUAAAUUUUAGCAUAUUCCUCAGGAGAGAGAAGAGCACCCUCAAAAACAAAGUUUUCCCUUAUGCACAUCGCAAACAGCCCAAAAUGGAAUGCUCUUCUCUUUUGUUUUACUCCAAAUUGCUGUAUCAUCUUUAUGAGUCCAUUCUGAAUUUUGUUAAAAUUACUAAUAUUUUAACCUAAACUUCUACCUUUUUCUGGAUUGAAGCGUGUAUGUCAAGUUUUAGGGAGAAAAAGUGACUGUAAAAGUUAGUAACUUGAAAAUCUCACUUGUGAACUUUAAUAUUCUGAGGUGAAUAAUAGUCUUUAAUAAGAAAUAGAUUUCCCAUAGGUUUUAAAUACUCUUUUUUCAUUACUUCUGUUUCUCAUAAGUGUACAACUAUGGCUGAAAAAAAGUCUUCAUACUUUGUGUGUGUCAUUGUUUUUCUCGUACACAUGAUUUCCUGUUGGUGUUCAAUAAUUUGGAGUUUAUAAAAUUAAAAGUUCUAAUUUUGGCCAUUUAAGCUAAAAAUUGUCUGCGGAGGUACAAGUGAAAUGUGUGCCUGGAUUUGCAAUAAGAAAGAAUGCUGGUCAUUUGGCUCUGGUCGCCCUUGUUUGAAGGGACUUGUGAGUAGCUGAAGUGAAAUAUUUGUGUUGCCAUUUUUCAGCCUUUUGUUUCUGCAGGCCCCAGAGGACUCCUCCCGAAAGGUGCGGCUUGCCCCGUUGGAGCUUCAGGACUAGUUCUGGGUUAUUCCUACUGCGUGGAUUUCUUUUCCCGAGACCCCAACAUACGGCUGAGCGCACUGCUGUCCUGACUGGCUUGCAGGAGGCCUGGUCUGGGCUCUGGCCCCGGGGAGUUCUCCGCAGAGCUUUCUCUGCCCCACCCGGCUGCGGCGGCAGGUCCCGCCCUGCAGCCUCGCGGACUCCGGAACCAGACCCUGGCCGCUCCCUGACAGCCGCGCGCCCAGCUCCUGCAGUGUCCCGGAGGGGGCUUCUAAGGAAGCCGACUGCUGUGGACAGCAUUUCCCAGCUCAGACUGGAAGGAAGGGCCUGACGGGCGGUAGCACCAGCCCGCCGUCUCUUCCUGUGGCCCCCCAAAGUGGCUUUUGCUUUGGGUUGUGUUUUGUUUGUUUAAAGUGGUUAAAUGUGCCAUCAAGUGUCAGGUUAACAUCUCCUGCAAAGCGACCAGUGCGGCAAAAUUCCAUAAAUAUUUGAACUUAGAGAAACA
Chinchilla lanigera (long-tailed chinchilla) is the source of this 8619-nucleotide RNA transcript. It is a transcript of the gene named KIAA1462 ortholog, with no coding region annotated. The record is from RefSeq and is a predicted model, not a curated record. The transcript is spliced from 4 exons. Lineage: Eukaryota; Metazoa; Chordata; Mammalia; Rodentia; Chinchillidae.